RNAcentral lists this ribosomal RNA (252 nucleotides) under uncultured bacterium. RNAcentral's name for it is "partial 16S ribosomal RNA". It matches the Rfam family "Bacterial small subunit ribosomal RNA", at positions 524 to 776 of the family's 1533-position model. The record is from RNAcentral.
AACGUAGGUGGCGAGCGUUAUCCGGAUUUACUGGGCGUAAAGGGUGUGCAGGCGGGCUGUUAAGUGGUGUAUGAAAUAUCCCGGCUCAACCGGGAGAGGUUAUGCCAGACUGGCAGUCUAGAGAGCGAGAGAGGGACGUGGAAUUCCGGGUGUAGUGGUGAAAUGCGUAGAGAUCCGGAGGAACCCAGAGGCGAAGGCGGCGUCCUGGCUCGCAUCUGACGCUCAGACACGACAGCAUGGGGAGCGAACGGG